This 305-nucleotide ribosomal RNA is filed under the name uncultured bacterium. Its description in RNAcentral is "bacterial SSU rRNA". It matches the Rfam family "Bacterial small subunit ribosomal RNA", at positions 337 to 659 of the family's 1533-position model. The record is from RNAcentral.
GCCUAUGGGACGCAGCAGUGGGGAAUAUUGCACAAUGGGGGAAACCCUGAUGCAGCAACGCCGCGUGAGUGAAGAAGUCAUUCGUGAUGUAAAGCUCUAUCAGCAGGGAAGAAAAUGACGGUACCUGAGUAAGAAGCCCCGGCUAACUACGUGCCAGCAGCCGCGGUAGUACGUAGGGGGCAAGCGUUAUCCGGAUUUACUGGGUGUAAAGGGAGCGUAGACGGCAGUGCAAGUCUGAAGUGAAAGGCAAGGGCUCAACCCUUGGACUGCUUUGGAAACUGUGCUGCUCGAGUGUCGGAGAGGCA